RNAcentral lists this unclassified non-coding RNA (400 nucleotides) under soil metagenome. RNAcentral describes it as "partial contains 5.8S ribosomal RNA, internal transcribed spacer 2, and large subunit ribosomal RNA". The stretch from base 1 to 122 matches the Rfam family "5.8S ribosomal RNA", at positions 35 to 154 of the family's 154-position model. The record is from RNAcentral.
GAUGAAGAACGUAGCGAAAUGCGAUACUUGGUGUGAAUUGCAGAAUCCCGUGAACCAUCGAGUCUUUGAACGCAAGUUGCGCCUCAAGCCAUUAGGUUGAGGGCACGUCUGCCUGGGCGUCACAUAUCGUUGCCUGAUGCCAGUUUCCUCGUGAUGGGUGACUGUGCAGGGCGAAUGAUGGCUUCCCGUGAGCAUUGUUGCCUCAUGGUUGGUUGAAAAUUGAGUCCUUGGUAGGGAGCGCCGUGAUAGAUGGUGGUUGAGUGACGAACGAGACCCAAUCAUGUGAGACCCCUACCGAAUUUGGCCUUCAUGACCCACAUGUGUCUUUGGAACGCUCAUGACGAGACCUCAGGUCAGGCGGGGCUACCCGCUGAGUUUAAGCAUAUCAAUAAGCGGAGGA